ACUCCUACGGGAGGCAGCAGUGGGGAAUAUUGGACUAUGGGCGAAAGCCUGAUCCAGCCAUGCCGCGUGUGUGAAGAAGGUCUUCGGAUUGUAAAGCACUUUAAGUUGGGAGGAAGGGCAGUUACCUAAUACGUGAUUGUUUUGACGUUACCGACAGAAUAAGCACCGGCUAACUCUGUGCCAGCAGCCGCGGUAAU
Molecule: ribosomal RNA, 197 nt
Filed under: uncultured bacterium
Lineage: Bacteria
Description: partial 16S ribosomal RNA
Rfam family: Bacterial small subunit ribosomal RNA
Source: RNAcentral